Molecule: RNA transcript, 7611 nt
Organism: Mus musculus (house mouse)
Lineage: Eukaryota; Metazoa; Chordata; Mammalia; Rodentia; Muridae
Gene: Phf12
Gene name: PHD finger protein 12
Exons: 15
Source: RefSeq, marked validated
AGGCUUGAUCCCUUUCUCUGCAUCUUGCCCCCUGUUGCCACUCCGGUGCUGCCUCCCUCCUCCCCCUUCCCUCCUCCCUACUCCGCUGCUGCCUCUUAGGAAAUCGGGCCGGGUUAGACAAUUAAAAUUGCCCUUGGGCGCCGAUUUCUCUUCUCUGCUCUGGUUCAGCGAGCCCUUCGCCUCAAAAUUCUUUGCUGCUGGGGCAGGAUUGUGUUCGGUGGCUCCGGAAAGGCAGUUUUAAGCAGCUGAGAGCUGGAAAGCUGUGAGCUCUCCCACCCCAACUGAAGGGGGUGGGGGUGGGGCUGGGUUGAUCACCCGCUGCGCUGCUUGAUCCUUCUCAGCCGCUCAGCCCAGAGCACUCCUGCAAAAGAGUUUAAACUAUCUUCUGCCAGAAGAUCACCUUUCUGCCCUGCACACAAACCCCACAUCUCUACUUUGAACCCAGAUAGCCUCUUGUUCUGUUCAGCAACAGUUGACCCGAGGCUAGUGCUUGGGAGAAGAUGGCUCCUGGGGUGGGGUAGGGGGGUUGUUCGUUCCCAUUCUGAUUGGAAAGGAGGGGUUCCUGUUCUUUGUUUUGUGCCGCCCUUUUUAGCUUCUUGUUUUUAAAAAGGUGUAUGAGGGCUCUCUCCUCAGUUCCACCUACAUUCCGAAAUCCCUUGGUUUGUGUGGAAUAGAGCCUGAUGUAUUUGUACUUAGAUGGCUGAUACUGGGCAAAGUAGGACUGUGGUCAGAAGUUAUGUGGGACAUUCCUAUUUCUAACUCCAAGACACUUUUGCUUAUAAGGGCACCCCACCUUGGCUUUUAAUGUUUCAAGGACAAAAGUUACUAUCCUGGAGGAAGCUUUGCCGCUGGCCUUUGCUUUUUUUUUUUUUUUUUUUUUUUUUUGUGAUGGAGUGAGUAAGGCGGCAGUGAGGGCCUGUGGGUUUUGUUGUUGGCCUCUACUUCCUCUAAAGUGUGAUCCACCUGGAGGAAACCCCUCUGGUCCAGUUUCCUUUGCUGUUCUUUUCUAUUUGGGAUGUAGGAGGGCCCAGCUUGGCCUUGAGCUCACAAUCAUCCUCCUGCCUUGGCCUCCAAAGUGUGCAUCAUUGUACCCUGUUCUUGAGUCUGCGCUGCUUACUUUUUUAUUUGAUAUAUUACUAGGACUUUUAAAUUUCUUCUCUUUCUCUUUUUCCUUUUACUAUAAUUUUUGAGACAAUCUUACUGUGAAGCCCUGUUUGACUUGACAUUGUAUUUGCCCAAGUUGACUUCCAAUCUAUGCCAAUCAUUCCUGCCUGGGUCUCCUGAAUGCUGGGAUUACAGGUGUGCACCACCAUGGCCCAGCGCGCUCACUCGUGCGCUCUCUCUCUCUCUCUCUCUCUCUCUCUCUCUCUCUUUCUCUUUUUUAAAGUGUUGGCUAAUAUUACCUCUAUGGUGGAGUAGUUGUUAACGAAGAUUGGUAACUACUGUUGAAUGAACAUUUGAUAAACUCUGUUAUCUUUUUUUUUAAUCUCAAUAUUUAAUAAUGUUGAAACUGUUUAAUAAAAGUCUGAAGCAUCUUAAGAGCAUUUGCUACACAAUCAGGAGGAACAGAGUUUGGAUUUCAGUACCCACACAGCAACCUGGGGUGUCUGGCAUAGCCCAUUAAGUCCAGCUUGGGUGGGGGGCAGAGGCACGAUUAUUGGCACUUAACUAGCUUCUAACCUUGUUGGGAUCUGUCGGUCCAGGUCAUAGCUUAGCUGAGAAAACACCCAGGUUAUGGAGAAACUGCCUCUGAGGAAUAGGCAGAGAGUAACCCAGUGCCUUCUCACUUCCCAAGCUCAGCACACCUGGGACACACGUACUCACACACGUAGACACAUACUUUAGUUUUAGUUUUUUAAAGCUACUUUUAUUUAUUGAAGGGGGGGCGUGCCAUGGAGCACAGGUGGAAGUCAGAACAAGAGUUGAUUUUCUCUUCUACUCUGGUUCCUAGGGAUUGACUCAGGACGUCAGGUUGUCCUGUUUGGCAGCAAGUACCUUCACCUCCUGAGCCAUCUUUCUCCUAAUAUAAAUAAACCUUUAUAUUAAAAACAACAACAACAAAAACAAAUUGAGGAAUGGAGAGUGUGCUAUCUUUUUGCCUCAGCUUUUAAACUCUAAAGCUGAACACUGAGUCUUCUGAGAUGAGUGUAGAGCUUGUCAAGGCCUUUUGUUUUUGUUCUAGUUUUUUUCUUUUUAUGAGUACAUUGUCGCUGUCUUCCUCACAUCCCAUUACAGAUGGUUGUGAGCCACCAUGUGGUUGCCAGGAAUUGAACUCAGGACCUCUGGAAGAGCAGUUAGUGCUCUUAACCGCUGAGCCAUCUCUCCAGCCCCAGAGCUUGUCAAGUUUUAACUAUGUUUUUUGUUUUAGCUGGAGGGAGGGGUCUCUAGUUGUUGGGGAGACUCAGGUUUGCUCAGGCUCUGCGUUUGACUAUUUCCCCCUUUUUCUGAGAUUAUGAAUGGGUAAUGAGAUUGGAGAACAGUAGUAACUGAGGUAGGCUUUGUUUUACUGCAUCAGUUCUCCCUGAAGGUGUCAGUACUGAGAGUACCACUGACUUACCUGAGUUAGUCUCUAAGUCAUAAAACAUUUCUAUGUCUCAGUGAAAAGGCAGGAAGCCUUUUGAAUGAGAAUCUCCUAGGUGCUUUCAUUUUAUAAGCGAGGAUUUCCCCCACUUUUGUGUUUUUUUUCAGCCAGAGUUGUGAGGUCAAGCAGUUAAUAUGUGAGAAGAUUUUUGGUUCCUGGGUGUGUUUUCCUGUUACUACUUCCUUGUAUGGAGAAGGUUGAAUGCAGCUGUGUUCCUCCUGUCUCUUUAGAACACGCUGAGACGACAUUACUUAGAUAAGCAUAGUAAUGAUAGUGUCCCUUAUGUACAGAGUGUAUGACAAUGAGUAAAAGCUAUAGCAGGGCGGUGGUGGCGCACGCAUUUAAUCCCAGCACUUGGGAGGCAGAGGCAGGCGGAUUUCUGAGUUCGAGGCUAGCCUGGUCUACAGAGUAAGUUCCAGGACAGCCAGGGCUAUACAGAGAAACCCUGUCUCGGAAAACCUAAAUAAAUAAAUAAAUAAAUACAUAAAUAAAUAAAUAAAUAGUUCUAUGAGAUGACUGAGUACAGGUUUGCCUACUGGAGACCCAGCCUUCUAAAGGAUGCAGCUAGAAGAGUGAAAAUUCCAAGUUUGCCUGGUCUGUGUGGGGAAACAAACAAACAAACAAACAAAAAACAAGCAAACAAACAAAAGGUCCUUUGUCUGGAUUUUUGCCUGCCUGCUUUAUGGUAAUCAGUAUAUAUUAAAAAGUCCCAGAAAGCUGGGCGUGGUGGCGCACACUUUUAGUCCCAGCACUUGGGAGGCAGAGGCAGAUGGAUUUCUGAGUUCGAGGCCAGCCUGGUCUACAGAGUGAGUUCCAGGACAGCCAGGACUACACAGAGAAACCCUGUCUUGAAAAACCAAAAAAAAAAAAAAAAAAAAGUCCCUGAAAUGGUUCUUUUGGUGGGAUGGUACUGGGAAUUGAAGCUAAUGAGGGCCUGGUUAAUCUUCUGCCUCAGUUUCCCAAGUAGCCAAGAUUAUAAGCCUGAAAUACCAAGCCUAGACAGAGGUGAUUAGUAGGCAAACCUUAUCUCUUGGGCUUGACACAACACUAAACCGUUCCUUAUGAUAGGAAAGGACUGCUCACACCUUGCUUUUGUCCUACCUUUUCCCUCAGGGAUCAGUGUACUGUGGAAAAUCAUUCUGGUUAGGAUCUUUCUAGGUUUUCUUUCAGUUAUGAUUCUCUGAAUUAGGAAAUAAGUUGUGCUGUGCCUAAUAUCAUAACCUCAGAGUGCUAACAGGAGUUACCAAGCCUGGCCCUGGAGAACUGGAAGGUUUUCAAGUGUUUGCUGGCGACCCUGACCCUGUCAUCACAGUGGUGUAUAAGUAACCCUCCACUGAGUGAAGAGAUGUUGCCUCCUGGGGAGUGGAUGUGUCACCGGUGUACUGUCCGCCGAAAGAAACGAGAGCAGAAAAAGGAGCUUGGCCAUGUCAAUGGACUGGUGGACAAGUCUAGCAAACGGACUACAUCCCCCAGCAGUGACACUGACUUGUUGGACAGACCAGCUAGCAAAACUGAACUCAAGGCCAUUGCCCAUGCCCGGAUCCUGGAAAGGAGAGCCAGCCGGCCUGGCACCCCCACAUCCAACGCCAGCACAGAGACCCCCACCUCUGAGCAUAAUGACGUCGAUGAGGACAUCGUUGACGUGGACGAGGAGCCAGUCGCAGCAGAGCCGGACUAUGUGCAGCCCCAGCUGCGGCGGCCUUUUGAGCUGCUGAUUGCUGCUGCCAUGGAGCGGAACCCUACCCAGUUUCAGUUGCCCAACGAACUGACCUGUACCACUGCACUACCAGGUUCUAGCAAACGGAGAAGAAAGGAAGAAACCACAGGGAAGAAUGUAAAAAGGACACAGCAUGAGUUAGACCAUAAUGGUCUUGUUCCCUUGCCGGUCAAAGUCUGCUUCACAUGUAACAGGAGUUGUCGAGUGGCCCCCCUCAUCCAGUGUGACUAUUGCCCGCUUCUGUUUCACAUGGACUGCCUCGAGCCCCCGCUCACUGCCAUGCCCCUGGGCAGAUGGAUGUGUCCGAAUCACAUCGAACAUGUGGUGCUGAACCAGAAGAACCUGACUCUGAGCAAUCGGUGCCAGGUGUUUGAUCGGUUCCAGGACACCAUUUCACAACAUGUUGUCAAAGUAGAUUUCCUGAACCGAAUCCACAAGAAGCACCCUCCUAACCGCCGUGUGCUCCAGUCUGUCAAAAGAAGAAGCUUGAAGGUUCCUGAUGCUAUAAAAUCUCAGUACCAGUUUCCACCCCCGCUUAUUGCACCCGCGGCCAUUCGGGACGGGGAGCUGAUCUGCAGUGGGGUCCCUGAGGAAUCACAAACGCACCUUUUGAACUCUGAGCACUUAGCCACUCAGGCAGAGCAGCAGGAGUGGCUCUGUAGUGUUGUUGCGCUCCAGUGCAGCAUAUUGAAACAUUUAUCUGCUAAGCAGAUGCCUUCGCCUUGGGACUCUGAACAGACAGAGAAGGCUGAUAUUAAGCCUGUUAUUGUGACUGACAGCUCAAUCACCACCUCCCUGCAAACCGCUGACAAGGCACCUCUUCCUUCCCACUACCCUUUGUCCUGCCCCUCAGCAGUGAGCACCCAAAAUUCCCUGGGCUGCUCUCCACCCCACCAACCCCCAACCCUAGAAGACAUCAGCUGCAGUUCUUGUGUGGAAAAGUCCAAGAAAGCCCCUUGUGGGACUGCCAAUGGGCCGGUGAACACAGAGAUAAAAGCCAAUGGCCCACACCUCUACAGCAGCCCCACUGAUUCCACGGAUCCCCGGCGACUUCCUGGCGCCAACACCCCUUUACCAGGCCUCACACACCGGCAAGGCUGGCCCCGGCCCCUCACGCCACCAUCGGCUGGGGGACUUCAGAACCACGUCGGCAUCAUUGUGAAGACAGAAAAUGCCACUGGCCCCAGCUCUUGUCCCCAGAGGAGUUUGGUACCCGUCCCAAGCCUGCCCCCUUCCAUUCCCAGCUCUUGUGCCAGCAUCGAGAACACCAGCACUUUGCAUAGAAAGACUGUCCAGUCACAGAUAGGACCUUCGUCGACAGAAUCGAGGCCUCUGGGCUCACCCCCAAAUGCCACCCGGGUGCUCACUCCCCCCCAGGCUGCAGGAGACAGUAUCUUGGCCACAGGUGCCAACCAACGAUUCUGCUCACCAGCGCCAUCAUCAGCUCUAGGAGUUCCAGAGCCUGUGGGUUGAGAAUCAAGAAGGGAACAUCACCUUGGAUGGCAAGGUCAGCCCCGGCACGUUAUCCAUAGGAAGCGCUUUAACCGUACCCUCUUUCCCAGCCAACUCUACUGCCAUGGUGGACCUCACCAACUCACUUCGAGCAUUUAUGGAUGUCAACGGAGAAAUCGAGAUAAAUAUGUUGGAUGAGAAGCUGAUCAAGUUUCUGGCCUUGCAGAGAGUACAUCAGCUUUUCCCUUCCCGGGUCCAAGCUUCACCGGGCAAUGUUGGGACACAUCCGCUGGCUUCUGGAGGGCACCACCCAGAAGUGCAAAGAAAGGAGGUACAGGCCCGAGCUGUGUUCUGCCCCCUCUUAGGGUUGGGAGGAGCUGUGAACAUGUGCUAUCGAACCCUCUACAUCGGGACAGGAGCUGACAUGGAUGUGUGCCUUACAAACUAUGGUCACUGUAACUACGUGUCCGGGAAACAUGCCUGCAUAUUCUACGAUGAGAAUACCAAACAUUAUGAGCUGUUAAACUACAGUGAGCAUGGGACAACGGUGGACAAUGUGCUGUAUUCAUGUGACUUCUCUGAGAAGACCCCGCCAACCCCCCCAAGCAGUAUUGUUGCCAAAGUACAGAGUGUCAUCAGGCGCCGCCGACACCAGAAACAGGAUGAAGAGCCAAGUGAGGAGGCAGCCAUGAUGAGUUCCCAGGCCCAGGGGCCACAGCGGAGACCCUGCAAUUGCAAAGCCAGCAGCUCAAGCUUGAUUGGGGGCAGUGGGGCCGGCUGGGAGGGCACAGCCUUACUCCACCAUGGCAGCUACAUCAAGCUGGGCUGCCUGCAGUUUGUCUUCAGCAUCACUGAGUUUGCGACCAAACAGCCCAAAGGCGAUGCCAGCCUGCUGCAGGAUGGGGUCUUGGCUGAGAAACUCUCUCUCAAGCCCCAUCAGGGCCCUGUGCUGCGCUCCAACUCCGUUCCCUAGGCCAUUGGCCUGGACGCCCACCCAAGACUCCUGCAAUGCAAAAAUGUACACGAACCAAGCCUGGGUGUUUUCUAUACCAGAAACCCUCAACUACAAUCUUUGCAUGAAAUGAAGAAAACCUUUUGACUGUUUUUUAAGACUUUUUUUCUUUUCUCAAGUUCUAGGGGGCAUUUGCACAUAUAUUUGUACUCAACAUUUCAUGGGAAAGCGGCAGAUCCGCGCUGAGGAGCAGCGAGGGCAGGGACAGGAGGCCCUGGUCUGGACACUUCCUCCAGCACAAUCCCUUCCCCCGCCUCCUGCUCCUCCCCCUCGACCGCCUGCCCACUGUUGUAAAAUAAUCAGAAACUUGUUCUAUUUUGUGGCAGUGACAAUAGUUUUAUAUUAAAAGAAAAAAAUACAGUUUUCAUACAGCAAAAUCUAUACAAUAUCAUUGUUUUAUUUAAUAUAAAGAUCGCUACCCACUCCUUUCCAUGGUUCCCACCCUACAAGGACUUCCCCUCUCUGCAGCAGUUGCACUACAGGUAGCUACUGUGUAUAUGGACAAAUGAGAAAUGAAUCCUUUUUUCUGGCUGUCCAUCUAUUUUAUUUCAAAUAAGGAAAAGUGUAUUUGGAUUUUGUGUAAAUACAUCUAGUGAUGGCAUUUUUUCAAUGUUUUUAAAAGCUGUGUACAGUACAUGUGGUAGAGUGUUUCUCAAAUUGUCUAUUGUAGCAAAGGCGUUUUUGUCGUAAACCUGUUCUGUGUCCUUUUUUGUUCUUACCACUUCUCUUCCUCCUCACCCCAGAUACUUCCUCUUCCCCACAACCAAUGUACAUAGUAAUUGUAAUGUUUUAGACUUGACAGAAACUUUCCUGUAUUCUGUAUAUAAAAACCAAAAAUACUUCAAAUUA